This 467-nucleotide ribosomal RNA is filed under the name uncultured bacterium. RNAcentral describes it as "partial 16S ribosomal RNA". It matches the Rfam family "Bacterial small subunit ribosomal RNA", at positions 28 to 507 of the family's 1533-position model. The record is from RNAcentral.
GAUGAACGCUGACAGAAUGCUUAACACAUGCAAGUCAACUUGAAUUUGGGUUUUUAACUUAGGUUUGGGUGGCGGACGGGUGAGUAACGCGUAAAGAACUUGCCUCACAGCUAGGGACAACAUUUGGAAACGAAUGCUAAUACCUAAUAUUAUGAUAAUAGGGCAUCCUAUAAUUAUGAAAGCUAUAAGCGCUGUGAGAGAGCUUUGCGUCCCAUUAGCUAGUUGGAGAGGUAACGGCUCACCAAGGCGAUGAUGGGUAGCCGGCCUGAGAGGGUGAUCGGCCACAAGGGGACUGAGACACGGCCCUUACUCCUACGGGAGGCAGCAGCGGGGAAUAUUGGACAAUGGACCGAGAGUCUGAUCCAGCAAUUCUGUGUGCACGAUGAAGUUUUUCGGAAUGUAAAGUGCUUUCAGUUGGGAAGAAACAAAUGACGGUACCAACAGAAGAAGUGACGGCUAAAUACGUG